UUUACGGGAGGCCGCAGUGGGGAAUAUCGCACAAUGGACGAAAGUUUGAUGCAGCAACCCCGCGUGAGGGACGAAGGCCUUCGGGUUGUAAACCUCUUUUUGCAGGGGAGAAGCGAAAGUGACGGUACCUGCAGAAAAAGCAUCGGCUAACUACGUGCCAGCAGCCGCGGUAAU
Molecule: ribosomal RNA, 174 nt
Filed under: uncultured bacterium
Lineage: Bacteria
Description: partial 16S ribosomal RNA
Rfam family: Bacterial small subunit ribosomal RNA
Source: RNAcentral